This 504-nucleotide ribosomal RNA is filed under the name uncultured bacterium. RNAcentral's name for it is "partial 16S ribosomal RNA". It matches the Rfam family "Bacterial small subunit ribosomal RNA", at positions 30 to 523 of the family's 1533-position model. The record is from RNAcentral.
AUUGAACGCUGGCGGUAUGCUUAACGCAUGCAAGUCGAACGGUAACAGGCCUAGCUUGCUAGGUGCUGACGAGUGGCGGACGGGUGAGUAACGCGUAGGAAUCUGCCUUAUUGUGGGGGAUAACCUGGGGAAACUCAGGCUAAUACCGCAUGAGCCCUUAGGGGGAAAGGAUGGGACCGAAAGGCCAUUCGCGAUAAGAUGAGCCUGCGUUGGACUAGCUAGUUGGUGGGGUAAAAGCCUACCAAGGCGAGGAUCCAUAGCUGGUCUGAGAGGACGAUCAGCCACACUGGGACUGAGACACGGCCCAGACUCCUACGGGAGGCAGCAGUGGGGAAUAUUGGACAAUGGGGGCAACCCUGAUCCAGCAAUACCGCGUGUGUGAAGAAGGCCUGCGGGUUGUAAAGCACUUUCAGUGGGGAGGAAGAGCUCGGUGCUAAUAGUAUCGAGUUGAGACGUUACCCACAGAAGAAGCACCGGCUAACUCUGUGCCAGCCGCCGCUGUAA